Molecule: non-coding RNA, 27 nt
Filed under: Cricetulus griseus (Chinese hamster)
Lineage: Eukaryota; Metazoa; Chordata; Mammalia; Rodentia; Cricetidae
Source: RNAcentral
GCUUCUGGAACGUCGGAACAGACCAAG